Nicotiana attenuata is the source of this 239-nucleotide long non-coding RNA. RefSeq lists it as uncharacterized. The transcript is spliced from 3 exons. NCBI's taxonomy places the organism in Eukaryota, Viridiplantae, Streptophyta, Magnoliopsida, Solanales, Solanaceae. The record is from RefSeq and is a predicted model, not a curated record.
CUCAAAUCCCCGAUCAAGCUCGCGAAUUUCUCUCUAUGAAUACAACCACAAUUUUGUUCCUAAAAAGUACUCCCUCACAAAUAGUCAUUGUUAGGGUUUCGCGAAGAAAGUUCAAUUUUUUGCUUUAAUAGCUGACUUAAGCCCUCCGAAGAGGGUUACACGAGGCUUUGUUUCUGCCAUGGAAGCCGAGAGGCGAACCAAAUAUGCAAUGACCCCAUGAAAUAAGUUGAAGGUAUGAA